UCCCUGGUGGCUCACACAGUAAAGAAUCUGCCUGCAAUGCAGGAGACCCAGGUUCAAUCCCUGGGUUGGGAA
Ovis aries (sheep) is the source of this 72-nucleotide transfer RNA. It matches the Rfam family "tRNA". From Rfam's summary of the family: Transfer RNA (tRNA) molecules are approximately 80 nucleotides in length. Lineage: Eukaryota; Metazoa; Chordata; Mammalia; Artiodactyla; Bovidae. The record is from Rfam.